Hydra vulgaris (swiftwater hydra) is the source of this 227-nucleotide long non-coding RNA. RefSeq lists it as uncharacterized. The record is from RefSeq and is a predicted model, not a curated record. NCBI's taxonomy places the organism in Eukaryota, Metazoa, Cnidaria, Hydrozoa, Anthoathecata, Hydridae.
GGUUUUAUGUGAAUAUUUAAUUAUUGGUCAUGCGUGAUGUUUUGUUCAAAGCAGAUCAGCCAACCAUAUAAAGGACAGAUAAAACUGACCCUCAUCUCAGGCUUAAGGGUCAAUUAAUGCAAUUUUUCAAAAGCUUCUUUUGAAGUAUGCAACCCUGAUGUCUUGAUGGGCACAAUCACAUGGAAGUAAUGUAAUAUUAAAUUAAAUAUUAAAGCAUAAAAUUUGCA